GAUGAAGAACGUAGCGAAAUGCGAUAAGUAAUGUGAAUUGCAGAAUUCAGUGAAUCAUCGAAUCUUUGAACGCACAUUGCGCCCGCCAGUAUUCUGGCGGGCAUGCCUGUCCGAGCGUCAUUUCAACCCUCGAACCCCUCCGGGGGGUCGGCGUUGGGGAUCGGCCCUUUCACCGGGUGCCGGCCCCUAAAUACAGUGGCGGUCUCGCCGCAGCCUCUCAUGCGCAGUAGUUUGCACACUCGCACCGGGAGCGCGGCGCGUCCUCGUCCGUAAAACACCCCAAACUUCUGAAAUGUUGACCUCGGAUCAGGUAGGAAUACCCGCUGAACUUAAGCAUAUCAAUAAGCGGGGA
RNAcentral lists this unclassified non-coding RNA (352 nucleotides) under soil metagenome. Its description in RNAcentral is "partial contains 5.8S ribosomal RNA, internal transcribed spacer 2, and large subunit ribosomal RNA". The stretch from base 1 to 120 matches the Rfam family "5.8S ribosomal RNA", at positions 35 to 154 of the family's 154-position model. The record is from RNAcentral.